AACGCGAAUUAACCUUACCCAGGCUUGAAAUGUAUUUGACAGCCCAUGAAAGUGGGUCCUCUCGCAAGAGACAAUUACACAGGUGCUGCAUGGCUGUCGUCAGCUCGUGCUGUGAAGCGUUGGGUUAAGUCCCGCAACGAGCGCAACCUUUGUCCUUAGUUGCCAUCAGGUAAAGCUGGGCACUCUAGGGAGACUGCCGGUGAUAAACUGGAGGAAGGAGGAGACGACGUCAAGUCAGUAUGGCCCUUAUGCCUGGGGCUACACACGUGCUACAAUGGCCGAGACAAAGGGCAGCUAACCCGCGAGGGGGCGCUAAUCCCCAAAAAACGGCCUCAGUUCAGAUAGAAGGCUGCAACUCGCCUUCUUGAAGUCGGAAUCGCUAGUAACGGUAGAUCAGCAUCGCUACCGUGAAUAACGUUCCCGGGUCUUUGUACAACACCCG
This 442-nucleotide ribosomal RNA is filed under the name uncultured bacterium. Its description in RNAcentral is "bacterial SSU rRNA". It matches the Rfam family "Bacterial small subunit ribosomal RNA", at positions 958 to 1396 of the family's 1533-position model. The record is from RNAcentral.